AAGUAUCACCAAGAAAUAUAUAGGCUCCUACAAAAUUGAUGAUAUGGUGAAGGUGGAAGGCUCCUGGGGUUGGUCUUGCUGCUCCACAGAUUGGAGUUCCCUUAAGGAUAAUAGUCUUGGAAGAUAUAAAGGAAUAUAUUAGUUAUGCACCCAAGGAUGAGAUUAAAGUUCAAGAGAGACGGCCUUUCGAUCUUUUGGUGAUUAUUAACCCAAAGCUUCAAAAGAAGAGCAACAGGACC
Molecule: long non-coding RNA, 239 nt
Organism: Rosa chinensis
Lineage: Eukaryota; Viridiplantae; Streptophyta; Magnoliopsida; Rosales; Rosaceae
Exons: 3
Source: RefSeq, a predicted model, not a curated record